Molecule: long non-coding RNA, 1033 nt
Filed under: Felis catus (domestic cat)
Lineage: Eukaryota; Metazoa; Chordata; Mammalia; Carnivora; Felidae
Description: lncRNA (ENSFCAG00000053727.1)
Source: RNAcentral
UAAGUCUCCCUAUUUUAAUUUAUUUUUUAAAUUUUCAUUCCAGUGUGCUACUUGUUUCUGGUAUACAGCAUAGUGAUUCAAUCCUUCUGUUCACCACCCGGUGCUCAUCACAAGGAAGCACAGACCCUUUAACUCAGCAGUUCGACUUCUGAGAAUUUCUCCCAAAAGAACAAUUGCAAAGGGAUACAAAGCUAUUGAUGCAGAAGGAGCGAUGAGGGGGAGAAGAGAGAAGGCAGGAGGGACACGUGCCACUGGGCAGGAAUCUAUCAUGGGCCAGGUGUUUUACAUACUUGACCUCAUUUGGUCCCCAGGAUACUUCAGGGAGCCAUAGGUGAAUUGUUAAUCCUGUUUGCAGUUAAGGAAACUCUCAGAUCAGGAGGUUGAUGUUCAGAGCAAUUUUAGAACAGACACAAGUUGAUCAGUUCACACUGAGGGGGAGCAGGAUAUAGCAUUCCAAACUAUGCCACUUUGGUAUAUUGAUUAUUUUGAAUGAAAGUUACUUAAGAAACAGCCUGUGCCAGAGGGCAUUCUGAUCUCCCCUGUCCCUCUGAAAGCACGAAAUAUCUCUCCCAUGAGAAAGGUGUUCUCCUGUCCCAGGAGGGGAGAAGGCAUCCUCCCUCACCAGACACAGAGUUCAGCACUGUGAAAAGUCUGUAUAAACAAACCUUGUUACUUCUUCACUAAUAUACUUGCCAAGCCCAAAUCCUUUUGUCUUAUCAAUUCUUCACAAAUGUGUUGCUUUCUUGUCUGAAAGGUAUGAAAGCCGCCUGCCUCACUCAUGUCUUUGAGUCUCAUAUUUUUAUGGGUUACCGUACAUAUGAAAUUAAUUUUUUUCUCCUGUUAAUCUGUUUUCGGUCAGUUUAAUUGUUAGACCAGCUAAAGAAGCAAGAAGGGAAGAAGGAAAAGUUUUCCUCCCCUUCAGUACCUCCAUCAAUCCAUGAAAUUGAGCAGGCCCAAGUGAAUUAGGGAACUCCCAAUUGAUAUCCAGCGCUCCUCGGAAAUCAAACACAAAACGAGCCUCUUGCUCAGUUUC